RNAcentral lists this ribosomal RNA (497 nucleotides) under uncultured bacterium. RNAcentral's name for it is "partial 16S ribosomal RNA". It matches the Rfam family "Bacterial small subunit ribosomal RNA", at positions 28 to 507 of the family's 1533-position model. The record is from RNAcentral.
GAUGAGCGCUGGCGGCGUGCCUAAUACAUGCAAGUCGAGCGAAUAGACGAGGAGCUUGCGCCUCUGACGUUAGCGGCGGACGGGUGAGUAACACGUGGAUAACCUACCUAUAAGACGGGGAUAAUUUCGGGAAACCGGAGCUAAUACCGGAUAAUAUAUUGAACCGCAUGGUGCAAUAGUGAAAGACGGUUUUGCUGUCACUUAUAGAUGGAUCCGCGCCGGAUUAGCGAGUUGGUAAGGUAACGGCUUACCAAGGCAACGAUGCGUAGCCGACCUGAGAGGGUGAUCCGCCACACUGGAACUGAGACACCGUCCAGACUCCUACGGGAGGCAGCAGUAGGGAAUCUUCCGCCAUGGGCGACAGCCUGACGGAGCCCCGCCGCGUGAGUGAUGAAGGUCUUCGGAUCGUAAAACUCUGUUAUUAGGGAAGAACAAAUGUGUAAGUAACUCUGCACGUCUUGACGGUACCUAAUCAGAAAGCCACGGCUAACUACGUG